GACGGAGGGUGCUAGCGUUGUUCGGAAUUACUGGGCGUAAAGGGCGCGUAGGCGGCUUGUUAAGUCGGGUGUGAAAGCCCGGGGCUCAACCCCGGAACGGCACCCGAGACUGGCGGGCUUGAGACCGAGAGAGGAGAGUGGAAUAACCAGUGUAGAGGUGAAAUUCGUAGAUAUUGGGUGGAACACCAGUGGCGAAAGCGGCUCUCUGGCUCGGUUCUGGCGCUGAGGCGCGAAAGCGUGGGGAGCAAACAGG
This 253-nucleotide ribosomal RNA is filed under the name uncultured bacterium. RNAcentral's name for it is "partial 16S ribosomal RNA". It matches the Rfam family "Bacterial small subunit ribosomal RNA", at positions 524 to 776 of the family's 1533-position model. The record is from RNAcentral.